CUGAUUUACAAAUAUGAAAAAGAGUGAGAGAGAUUGAGACAAGACAAUAAAAACAAAAGUACAAGUGAUUAAAUUGCCCUCUCCAUUCAGUCUUUCUGCUGAAAAGUGAUUAAAUUAAUCAACUAUGCCUAUUUACAGAGCAAGUAUCCAUGUUUCAAAAAGGAACAAGGUAGGAGGUUACUUCAUCAGCCCCUUAACAAAUUUUGAGGUGUACGCACAAGGUCGUCAUCAUCAAAGACACAACGUCGAUGCAG
This 254-nucleotide unclassified non-coding RNA is filed under the name Hevea brasiliensis (rubber tree). Lineage: Eukaryota; Viridiplantae; Streptophyta; Magnoliopsida; Malpighiales; Euphorbiaceae. The record is from RNAcentral.